This 1318-nucleotide ribosomal RNA is filed under the name Agrococcus sp. RNAcentral describes it as "bacterial SSU rRNA". It matches the Rfam family "Bacterial small subunit ribosomal RNA", at positions 86 to 1417 of the family's 1533-position model. Lineage: Bacteria; Bacillati; Actinomycetota; Actinomycetes; Micrococcales; Microbacteriaceae. The record is from RNAcentral.
UCCUGAUUAGUGGCGAACGGGUGAGUAAUACGUGAGCAAUGUGCCCUUGACUCUGGGAUAAGCGCUGGAAACGGCGUCUAAUACCGGAUACGACGAUCGGAGGCAUCUCCUGGUCGUGGAAAGAAUUUCGGUCAAGGAUCAGCUCACGGCCUAUCAGUUAGUUGGUGAGGUAAUGGCUCACCAAGACGACGACGGGUAGCCGGCCUGAGAGGGUGACCGGCCACACUGGGACUGAGACACGGCCCAGACUCCUACGGGAGGCAGCAGUGGGGAAUAUUGCACAAUGGGCGCAAGCCUGAUGCAGCAACGCCGCGUGAGGGACGAAGGCCUUCGGGUUGUAAACCUCUUUUAGCAGGGAAGAAGCGAAAGUGACGGUACCUGCAGAAAAAGCACCGGCUAACUACGUGCCAGCAGCCGCGGUAAUACGUAGGGUGCAAGCGUUGUCCGGAAUUAUUGGGCGUAAAGAGCUCGUAGGCGGUUUGUCACGUCUGCUGUGAAAACCCGAGGCUCAACCUCGGGCUUGCAGUGGGUACGGGCAGACUAGAGUGCGGUAGGGGAGAUUGGAAUUCCUGGUGUAGCGGUGGAAUGCGCAGAUAUCAGGAGGAACACCGAUGGCGAAGGCAGAUCUCUGGGCCGUAACUGACGCUGAGGAGCGAAAGCAUGGGGAGCAAACAGGCUUAGAUACCCUGGUAGUCCAUGCCGUAAACGUUGGGAACUAGAUGUGGGGACCAUUCCACGGUCUCCGUGUCGUAGCUAACGCAUUAAGUUCCCCGCCUGGGGAGUACGGCCGCAAGGCUAAACUCAAAGGAAUUGACGGGGGCCCGCACAAGCGGCGGAGCAUGCGGAUUAAUUCGAUGCAACGCGAAGAACCUUACCAAGGCUUGACAUAUACGAGAACGCACUGGAGACAGUGAACUCUUUGGACACUCGUAUACAGGUGGUGCAUGGUUGUCGUCAGCUCGUGUCGUGAGAUGUUGGGUUAAGUCCCGCAACGAGCGCAACCCUCGUCCUAUGUUGCCAGCACGUAAUGGUGGGAACUCAUGGGAUACUGCCGGGGUCAACUCGGAGGAAGGUGGGGAUGAGGUCAAAUCAUCAUGCCCCUUAUGUCUUGGGCUUCACGCAUGCUACAAUGGCCGGUACAAUGGGCUGCAAUACCGUAAGGUGGAGCGAAUCCCAAAAAGCCGGUCUCAGUUCGGAUUGAGGUCUGCAACUCGACCUCAUGAAGUCGGAGUCGCUAGUAAUCGUAGAUCAGCAACGCUACGGUGAAUACGUUCCCGGGCCUUGUACACACCGCCCGUCAAGUCAUGAAAGUCGGUAA